This 423-nucleotide ribosomal RNA is filed under the name Bacillus sp. EGU520. RNAcentral describes it as "bacterial SSU rRNA". It matches the Rfam family "Bacterial small subunit ribosomal RNA", at positions 53 to 461 of the family's 1533-position model. The record is from RNAcentral. Lineage: Bacteria; Bacillati; Bacillota; Bacilli; Caryophanales; Bacillaceae.
ACAUGCAAGUCGAGCGAAUGGAUUAAGAGCUUGCUCUUAUGAAGUUAGCGGCGCGAUAGGGUGAGUAACACGUGGGUAACCUGCCCAUAAGACUGGCGAUAACUCCGGGAAACCGGGGCUAAUACCGGAUAACAUUUUGAACCGCAUGGUUCGAAAUUGAAAGGCGGCUUCGGCUGUCACUUAUGGAUGGACCCGCGUCGCAUUAGCUAGUUGGUGAGGUAACGGCUCACCAAGGCAACGAUGCGUAGCCGACCUGAGAGGGUGAUCGGCCACACUGGGACUGACACACGGCCCAGACUCCUACGGGAGGCAGCAGUAGGGAAUCUUCCGCAAUGGACGCAAGUCUGACGGAGCAACGCCGCGUGAGUGAUGAAGGCUUUCGGGUCGUAAAACUCUGUUGUUAUUUUAGAACAAGUGCUUGUU